AUUGAACGCUGGCGGCAGGCCUAACACAUGCAAGUCGAGCGAGCGGCGGACGGGUGAGUAAUGUAUGGGGACUGCCCGAUAGAGGGGGAUAACUACUGGAAACGGUAGCUAAUACCGCAUACUAUCGGAUAACCCAUAUGGGAUUAGCUAGUAGGUGAGGUAAUGGCUCACCUAGGCGACGAUCCCUAGCUGGUCUGAGAGGAGGACCAGCCACACUGGGACUGAGACACGGCCCAGACUCCUACGGAGGCAGCAGUGGGGAAUAUUGCACAAUGGGCGCAAGCCUGAUGCAGCCAUGCCGCGUGUAUGAAGAAGGCCCUAGGGUUGUAAAGUACUUUCAGUCGGGAGGCGUUACUCGCAGAAGAAGCACCGGCUAACUCCGUGCCAGCAGCCGCGGUAAUAC
RNAcentral lists this ribosomal RNA (403 nucleotides) under uncultured bacterium. RNAcentral describes it as "partial 16S ribosomal RNA". It matches the Rfam family "Bacterial small subunit ribosomal RNA", at positions 30 to 526 of the family's 1533-position model. The record is from RNAcentral.